GGUCCUCAAUCUGUCAUUUGAACUAAAUCCUGUAAAAUCAUCAAAAAUAAAAAAAAUCCUCACAUUAGAUGAUUCUUCAUCGGUGGACCUUCUGAUGUCUAAGUCAGUCUUUCGCAGAAGCAAAUAAAACAAGUUUGAGUUUUAAAUGGUGCUUAAAAAUGAUAUCGAGUGUGAAAUAUGGAGGAUCUGUAUAAGAGUGUGAAGAAUG
This 208-nucleotide long non-coding RNA is filed under the name Elaeis guineensis (African oil palm). RNAcentral describes it as "long non-coding RNA (EGUI_LNC003257)". The record is from RNAcentral. Lineage: Eukaryota; Viridiplantae; Streptophyta; Magnoliopsida; Arecales; Arecaceae.